UGCAUCAGUAUAGCUCCGUCGGUAGAGCAUGAGACUCUUAAUCUCAGGGUCCUGGGUUUGAACCCCAUGUUGGGCAA
Podarcis lilfordi (Lilford's wall lizard) is the source of this 77-nucleotide non-coding RNA. NCBI's taxonomy places the organism in Eukaryota, Metazoa, Chordata, Lepidosauria, Squamata, Lacertidae. The record is from the annotation of a GenBank genome assembly.